UAGAAUGAAGGUAAAUAUUUAAUUAUUCCUCAUUUCAAUAUAUAGUACAAAAAGUAAAUGUUGUGGCACGUUGAUUGAGUAAUACAAUAAUCAGUGCACAUUUUACAUUCUGGGCUUUCUUGAACUUGCUCAACCUUUAAACUGGUCUCGCUAAAUCCAAAUAAUGGAAUCUGCAGGGUACAUAAAAUAGAGCAAUAAUCUUGUUGGCUCUGUCAAUGGUAACACAAAAUAAACCAUCAAUUUUUAUGGGAACUCUAUAAUAAAUUAAUCCGUGCAUAUUCAUUUGCUGAUAAACAAAUGUAAAGUAGAGACUUGCAGCAACCUGUUACAUCCAUACGAUAAUAUAAUUCGUAUUAUCCGAAAUAUUGCCAUAUAUAGCUCGUAGAUGUGGCACCUAAAUUAAAUUUACUAAAGUUAACGAACGACAGAUAUUACAUUAUAAGCCCUAAGAAUUCAAUCAUAUAUACAUUCCUUGCGCACAUUUCCGAUUACCACUGUUAGAGUAAGUUUUUUCCCACAAUUUGAGCAUAGAAAAACAUUGUGUGCAAAUUUAAGCUUGUGCACCUUGUAAAAAAUGCAUUGCUCCAUUUUAUUUAACAUAUAUUUGACUAUAUAUACCAGAACAGAACUCAAUUAUCCUGACAAUUUCUACGGUAGAUCGUUUACCAAGGCGACAAUAAGGAACUUAAAAAGCCACCAGAAAUGUGUUUUUUUUUUGCAAUUUUUUUCUUGAAUCUACACGAUACUGGUAACUGCUGAGCAAGCCGGAUAGCGUCAAACCAACGAUCCUUUCCGGGUACGGUGUCAAUUCGUAUACGUACCUGUGGUGAUGCCAGCUGCGUGCGCCAAGGUUAAUGAGGACAAACAGCAGGAAGGGGAGCGCAGGCAGUGACCAACAGAUAAGCGCGUAGCCGCUCCACUCAACCAGUGUAAUGACGUAGAUGUCGAAUUAUUUAACCUAGUAUAGAACUUAGCGACACGGGUCGUUUAACGUAAGCAGAUCACGUCAUAGAUUAUUUUAGUAACAGCCAAGGCAACAAGCGAAGGACACCUGCUCUCGUCACUAGCCGCACACGCCGGGCGCGUGGCGCGCGCGUGGCACAACAAAAGAAGAGAAAAUAUGUGACGACAGAAAGAGAAAGUAAUCACCUACACAAGGCUGAAAGAAACAUAGUGACACUUUAGCACCUACACAAGGCCG
Long non-coding RNA from Priapulus caudatus, 1201 nucleotides. RefSeq lists it as uncharacterized. The record is from RefSeq and is a predicted model, not a curated record. NCBI's taxonomy places the organism in Eukaryota, Metazoa, Priapulida, Priapulimorpha, Priapulimorphida, Priapulidae. The transcript has 3 exons.